UUGGAAUCAGAGAAUGUACAGGUGAGUCUGUUGGAAACAGAGAAUGUACAGGUGAGUCUGUUGGAAACAGAGAAUGUACAGGUGAGUCUGUUGGAAACAGAGAAUGUACAGGUGAGUCUGUUACUAUCAGAUUAUGUGUAUUCUUUGGGGAACAUUUCUACUCAUCAUGUUGCCUGUCCUCUUCCCAUCAGGGAGACUCUAGUCCAGUGUAUGAAAACGUCUCAAGCAUGUCCACAGCCCCUACUGCAGCACAGACAGCAGCCACCGUCCACCAGGACGAUGUUCACUACUCCAGUGUCCACUUCUCUCGCUCCAAAAACCAGGAAGUGCCUCUGUACUCUACCGUCCAGAUGCCUCAGCCCCAGAAAGAGGAAGAGGAUGUCCAGUACGAUGCUGUGAAAUUCAACCUCCCCAGUGCUGCCAACCAACCCACGGCAGCACAAGCAGCUGAGGAGGACUCUUCUGAGAUCUAUAGUAGAGUCAACAAACCCAGAAGACCUGAACACAACAAACCCAGAACCAAAAAGACCUGAAUGCAACAAACCCAGAACCAAGAAGACCUGAACGCAACAAACCCAGAAACAAGAAGACCUGAACGCAACAAACCCAGAACCAAGAAGACCUGAACGCAACAAACCCAGAACCAAGAAGACCUGAACACAACAAACCCAGAACCAAGAGGACCUGAACACAACAAACCCAGAACCAAGAGGACCUGAACACAACAAACCCAGAACCAAGAAGACCUGAACGCAACAAACCCAGAACCAAGAAGACCUGAACGCAACAAACCCAGAACCAAAAAGACCUGAACGCAACAAACCCAGAACCAAAAAGA
Molecule: long non-coding RNA, 838 nt
Organism: Oncorhynchus tshawytscha (Chinook salmon)
Lineage: Eukaryota; Metazoa; Chordata; Actinopteri; Salmoniformes; Salmonidae
Source: Ensembl